UAGGGAAUCUUCGGCAAUGGACGAAAGUCUGACCGAGCAACGCCGCGUGAGUGAAGACGGCUUUCGGAUCGUAAAACUCUGUUGUUUGAGAAGAACAAGGACGUUAGUAACUGAACGUCCCCUGACGGUAUCUAACCAGAAAGCCACGGCUAACUACUUUCCAGCUGCCGCGGUAAUACGCAGGUGGCAAGCGUUGUCCGGAUUUAUUGGGCGUAAAGCGAGCGCAGGCGGUUUCUUAAGUCUGAUGUGAAAGCCCCCGGCUCAACCGGGGAGGGUCAUUGGAAACAGGGAGACUUGAGUGCAGAAGAGGAGAGUGGAAUUCCAUGUGUAGAGGUGAAAAGAGUAGAUAUAUGGAGGAACACCAGUGGCGAAGGCGGCUCUCUGGUCAGUAACUGACGCUGAGGCUCGAAAGCGUGGGGAGCAAACAGG
This 429-nucleotide ribosomal RNA is filed under the name Gemmatimonadota bacterium. RNAcentral describes it as "Gemmatimonadetes bacterium partial 16S ribosomal RNA". It matches the Rfam family "Bacterial small subunit ribosomal RNA", at positions 355 to 776 of the family's 1533-position model. The record is from RNAcentral. Lineage: Bacteria; Pseudomonadati; Gemmatimonadota.